RNAcentral lists this non-coding RNA (24 nucleotides) under Arabidopsis thaliana (thale cress). The record is from RNAcentral. Lineage: Eukaryota; Viridiplantae; Streptophyta; Magnoliopsida; Brassicales; Brassicaceae.
GCAUUUCACAUCGAUCUCGCCUAA